GCCCUGGUGGCAUAAUGGUUAAAUUAAGUGCUUGGCUGCUAACCAAAAGGUUAGUGGUUCAAACCCACUCAGUGGCU
RNAcentral lists this transfer RNA (77 nucleotides) under Loxodonta africana (African savanna elephant). It matches the Rfam family "tRNA". From Rfam's summary of the family: Transfer RNA (tRNA) molecules are approximately 80 nucleotides in length. Their secondary structure includes four short double-helical elements and three loops (D, anti-codon, and T loops). Further hydrogen bonds mediate the characteristic L-shaped molecular structure. tRNAs have two regions of fundamental functional importance: the anti-codon, which is responsible for specific mRNA codon recognition, and the 3' end, to which the tRNAs corresponding amino acid is attached (by aminoacyl-tRNA synthetases). tRNAs cope with the degeneracy of the genetic code in two manners: having more than one tRNA (with a specific anti-codon) for a particular amino acid; and 'wobble' base-pairing, i.e. permitting non-standard base-pairing at the 3rd anti-codon position. The record is from Rfam by way of RNAcentral. Lineage: Eukaryota; Metazoa; Chordata; Mammalia; Proboscidea; Elephantidae.